RNAcentral lists this ribosomal RNA (444 nucleotides) under uncultured bacterium. RNAcentral describes it as "partial 16S ribosomal RNA". It matches the Rfam family "Bacterial small subunit ribosomal RNA", at positions 331 to 792 of the family's 1533-position model. The record is from RNAcentral.
CCAGACUCCUACGGGAGGCAGCAGUGGGGGAUAUUGCACAAUGGGGGGAACCCUGAUGCAGCGACGCCGCGUGGGUGAAGAAGCGCCUCGGCGCGUAAAGCCCUGUCAGCAGGGAAGAAAAUGACGGUACCUGAAGAAGAAGCCUCGGCUAACUACGUGCCAGCAGCCGCGGUAAUACGUAGGGGGCAAGCGUUAUCCGGAAUUACUGGGUGUAAAGGGAGCGCAGACGGCAGUGCAAGUCUGGAGUGAAAGCCCGGGGCUUAACUACGGGACUGCUCUGGAAACUGUGCAGCUAGAGUGCAGGAGAGGCAGGCGGAAUUCCUAGUGUAGCGGUGAAAUGCGUAGAUAUUAGGAGGAACACCGGCGGCGAAGGCGGCCUGCUGGACCGUAACUGACGUUGAGGCCCGAAAGCGUGGGGAGCAAACAGGAUUAGAUACCCUUGUA